UUAAAAAUGAAAGAAGUGCUUGGAAUAAUAGGGCAGGGAUUGGAAAAGCUCAGUAAAAGGGUGUAGGUGCCUUAUAAUAACUACCUUUGUGUUUAUAGCUUUUCUAUGGUGAAAACCUAAUCUGCACAAAGGCACCAUGAUCUUUCCAGUAAGAAAUGAAGGAGUGGGUGACUCAGGAGCAGUCAGCCAGAAAAGUUCUGUACUGCAAAGGGACAGUGGAUAAUAAAUCAAGCAGAAGCAGUCAUCCAAAACCUUUUUUUGAGCUCUUGGUGAUUUAAAGAUUUUUCUUACAAGAGUCAGGAGUUGGGAGAAUGCUGAAGUCUACAGGUAUGUGUAGAACAUGAAAGUUUAAUGAUGUUAUUUUGUAUGGUAUGUACACAAUUUCCCUGAAAAUAUUCACUUAUUCAUCUUCAUUUCUAUACUUAUAAUUAUUCUUUAAUAUUCUGUCCCCUACCCCC
RNAcentral lists this long non-coding RNA (458 nucleotides) under Fukomys damarensis (Damara mole-rat). RNAcentral's name for it is "lncRNA (ENSFDAG00000023561.1)". Lineage: Eukaryota; Metazoa; Chordata; Mammalia; Rodentia; Bathyergidae. The record is from RNAcentral.